Long non-coding RNA from Lynx canadensis (Canada lynx), 467 nucleotides. RefSeq lists it as uncharacterized. The transcript is spliced from 4 exons. Lineage: Eukaryota; Metazoa; Chordata; Mammalia; Carnivora; Felidae. The record is from RefSeq and is a predicted model, not a curated record.
CAUGAGUCUAACCCAUAUCAGCAGAUUCCAUGCUCUUCCACGGAUCUUCCAACAAAGAAAGCUCCAGAUGGUGCCUGAGGGACAAACAUAGGGCUGAUGAGACCAGGUGUGUCAAGUAGAAUCUAAAAUCAGGAAAGAGAGAUGCCCAGCCCCCCAGAUGGAACACUUAUGACUGAUGGGAUCCAAGAGAAAGAUGAUGACUGUGAAUAUGUGGAAGAUUAGAAAGGAGUGAAGAGGGAAUGAGAUCUUUCUGACUAGAUGCCAGAGGUGGAAGGUACCCACCACCUGAGCUUCCUUCUCUGUGAUGAUCCCCAGAGCUUGGCAACGAGUGGUGUGCACCUUCUUGGAGACAGGGAACACCUGCCAGAAACAAAGAAGUCCCAAGUGAAAUCCCAGAUCCCUCUAGAACAAUCCAUAAACAGAAAAGAAGUGAGAGAUGAAAAGGGGGUUAAAGAUCGAGCAUACUU